GCAGUCGAGCGGGCGUAGCAAUACGUCAGCGGCAGACGGGUGAGUAACGCGUGGGAACGUACCUUUUGGUUCGGAACAACACAGGGAAACUUGUGCUAAUACCGGAUAAGCCCUUACGGGGAAAGAUUUAUCGCCGAAAGAUCGGCCCGCGUCUGAUUAGCUAGUUGGUAGGGUAACGGCCUACCAAGGCGACGAUCAGUAGCUGGUCUGAGAGGAUGAUCAGCCACAUUGGGACUGAGACACGGCCCAAACUCCUACGGGAGGCAGCAGUGGGGAAUAUUGGACAAUGGGGGCAACCCUGAUCCAGCCAUGCCGCGUGAGUGAUGAAGGCCCUAGGGUUGUAAAGCUCUUUUGUGCGGGAAGAUAAUGACGGUACCGCAAGAAUAAGCCCCGGCUAACUUCGUGCCAGCAGCCGCGGUAAUACGAAGGGGGCUAGCGUUGCUCGGAAUCACUGGGCGUAAAGGGUGCGUAGGCGGGUCUUUAAGUCAGGGGUGAAAUCCUGGAGCUCAACUCCAGAACUGCCUUUGAUACUGAAGAUCUUGAGUUCGGGAGAGGUGAGUGGAACUGCGAGUGUAGAGGUGAAAUUCGUAGAUAUUCGCAAGAACACCAGUGGCGAAGGCGGCUCACUG
This 629-nucleotide ribosomal RNA is filed under the name Bradyrhizobium japonicum. Its description in RNAcentral is "bacterial SSU rRNA". It matches the Rfam family "Bacterial small subunit ribosomal RNA", at positions 57 to 731 of the family's 1533-position model. Lineage: Bacteria; Pseudomonadati; Pseudomonadota; Alphaproteobacteria; Hyphomicrobiales; Nitrobacteraceae. The record is from RNAcentral.